UAGGGAAUCUUCCACAAUGGACGAAAGUCUGAUGGAGCAACGCCGCGUGAGUGAAGAAGGGUUUCGGCUCGUAAAGCUCUGUUGUUAAAGAAGAACACGUAUGAGAGUAACUGUUCAUACGUUGACGGUAUUUAACCAGAAAGCCACGGCUAACUACGUGCCAA
RNAcentral lists this ribosomal RNA (164 nucleotides) under uncultured bacterium. RNAcentral describes it as "partial 16S ribosomal RNA". It matches the Rfam family "Bacterial small subunit ribosomal RNA", at positions 355 to 511 of the family's 1533-position model. The record is from RNAcentral.